Molecule: ribosomal RNA, 253 nt
Filed under: uncultured bacterium
Lineage: Bacteria
Description: partial 16S ribosomal RNA
Rfam family: Bacterial small subunit ribosomal RNA
Source: RNAcentral
UACGGAGGGUGCAAGCAUUAAUCGGAUUUAUUGGGCGUAAAGGGCGCGUAGGCGGCUUAGAAAGUCAUAUGUGAAAUUCCGUGACUCAAUUGCGGAGCUACAUGUGAAACUCCUAAGCUAGAGGAUAGGCGGAGAAAAUGGAAUUCCACGUGUAGCGGUGAAAUGCGUAGAUAUGUGGAGGAACACCAGAGGCGAAGGCGGUUUUCUAGCCUAAACCAGACGCUGAGGCGCGAAAGCAAGGGGAUCAAACAGG